UACGUAGGGUGCAAGCGUUGUCCGGAAUUAUUGGGCGUAAAGAGCUCGUAGGCGGUCUGUCGCGUCGGCUGUGAAAACUCGGGGCUCAACCCCGAGCCUGCAGUCGAUACGGGCAGACUAGAGUGCUGUAGGGGAGACUGGAAUUCCUGGUGUAGCGGUGAAAUGCGCAGAUAUCGGGAGGAACACCGGUGGCGAAGGCGGGUCUCUGGGCAGUAACUGACGCUGAGGAGCGAAAGCGUGGGGAGCGAACAGG
This 253-nucleotide ribosomal RNA is filed under the name uncultured bacterium. Its description in RNAcentral is "partial 16S ribosomal RNA". It matches the Rfam family "Bacterial small subunit ribosomal RNA", at positions 524 to 776 of the family's 1533-position model. The record is from RNAcentral.